RNAcentral lists this long non-coding RNA (644 nucleotides) under Setaria viridis. RNAcentral's name for it is "long non-coding RNA (SVIR_LNC010713)". Lineage: Eukaryota; Viridiplantae; Streptophyta; Magnoliopsida; Poales; Poaceae. The record is from RNAcentral.
UGAAGAAGAAGAUUUGUACAAGCGUCAGGCUCAAGAGGUGCAUCAACGGAUUCAUUUUCUGGAGGACUCUCGCCUUUGAAUCGUCGGCAUGAUAGACCGCCUCAAACGCCGAAGAGCAGAACUUGCCAAGGAGAUGGAGCAAGUGACCAAGGAAAUAGCCGCCGAAGAGAAGAGGCUUCAGGAACUCCCUUCCGUCAUCGCCGAUUUAAAGCGGGAGAGGCAGCAUCUGGCUCACGAAGCCCUUAGACUCCACCGCCACAUGUCAGAAGUCCCGGGGUCGGCAGAGGAUGACCAACGGGUCCUGGACUCGGCCGAUCAGAUCCGGCGUCGAGCGAUUGCGGCCAUCAACGCCCUUCUGGGCGAUCUGUAAAAGUACUGGUAGUUUUGUACGAACAUUAAUGCCUCCUUUGACCGUCCUUCACGGCGCUCUCUUAUUUAUUGCCUUUUUUACUUCUAAUCGGACGCGUCUUACAAAACAUCCACGCUUUCUCCACUUAUAAAUACAGGCCUUGGUUUCGCUUUUGAGAGCACCCGUUUAACUCGAUUCUCUCUUCCCCUGACUUGUUUCCAUCGACGCGUUCUGCAGUCAUGUCUUCUUCGUCCUCUUCUUUUUCCUCUGUUAACAAGGUAAGAGAUCUGCCUCC